Molecule: ribosomal RNA, 416 nt
Filed under: Enterobacter ludwigii
Lineage: Bacteria; Pseudomonadati; Pseudomonadota; Gammaproteobacteria; Enterobacterales; Enterobacteriaceae
Description: bacterial SSU rRNA
Rfam family: Bacterial small subunit ribosomal RNA
Source: RNAcentral
ACGGGUGAGUAAUGUCUGGGAAACUGCCUGAUGGAGGGGGAUAACUACUGGAAACGGUAGCUAAUACCGCAUAACGUCGCAAGACCAAAGAGGGGGACCUUCGGGCCUCUUGCCAUCAGAUGUGCCCAGAUGGGAUUAGCUAGUAGGUGGGGUAACGGCUCACCUAGGCGACGAUCCCUAGCUGGUCUGAGAGGAUGACCAGCCACACUGGAACUGAGACACGGUCCAGACUCCUACGGGAGGCAGCAGUGGGGAAUAUUGCACAAUGGGCGCAAGCCUGAUGCAGCCAUGCCGCGUGUAUGAAGAAGGCCUUCGGGUUGUAAAGUACUUUCAGCGGGGAGGAAGGUGUUGUGGUUAAUAACCGCAGCAAUUGACGUUACCCGCAGAAGAAGCACCGGCUAACUCCGUGCCAGCAG